GAAGGGAGGCGGCUCUGAUCAGGCUGGGCGACGCGGAGCGGCAGAGCCGUCGGGCUGGGCGGCACGGAGCGGCGUCGGCGCCGGGUGGCACAGCGAAAGAGGCGGCGGGCAUGACGGGGCGUUUUUUUUUUCCUCGCGAACCGGAAAGAAAAUGUUUCGACAGAGAGGCAGUGUUUUUUUCCCAGGCCGUGCCACCCUGGGUAAUUUGGGCUACGGCUUGUGCCGUCACCACCAACUCCAAUUUAAUACUUCCUCCGUUCUAAAAUACAGUUCAUAUAGAUUUGUGUAUUUGGACCAAAACACCACUCAUUUCUAGUGCCUGACCAUUCAUAUUGAGUCAAUAAUAAAUGAACAUAAGUAGUUAUUGGCUGGGUGCGGAUACCAAGAAAAAAAAUAAGAUGUAUUAUGAAAGAAAUGAAAAAAAUCUAUACACGUUGUAUUGUGAAACGGAAAGAGCAGAUAAUAAUAGAUAUAUAAAACGGUGAACUCAUGUUAUGCUCUUUGGUCGUUGGAUCUUAACCACAGUAUUAGCAUAUUUUAGAGUACAACAGAUUCAUAUAUUAGUAUUAUCCAACUAUAAACCUGUUGAUAUUAGCAUGGUGCAGAUGAGUCUAUUAGCAUGGUGCAGACUAGGCGCCUCCCGGGCGGUACUUAGCGCACUGAGACGCGACAGUAAAGGCAUAGGCUGGUUUUGACGGGAAGGUUGGCAGGUGUUUUACACUGGGCCAUGACGCUCAAAGCAAGCAUGGAGCAAAGAAGGGCAAAAGAGCAGCGCCGCCACCGCCGUUGUCUGCUUCCCGUCAGUCCGGCUCUCUCCGGCCAACUUGCCGCCGCCGCCUCCCCUCUCUCCGCAGCGCCGCCGCCCGUGGUCUUUCCCGCGGUGGAUCUCACACGGUCACACCCCCCAGAGCGACACGGCUGACGGCGGCACGUCCGUCCCCGAGAAGCUUCCCGCCGUCCUUCUUAUCUACCCAUCUCCACGUGCGUCGGAGAUCUUGCCUUGGUGCAGGAGAGAUGAAGCUUAUGGCGCCACCCGUGCUGAAGCCUUCGUCAUCCGGCGCAUGCGGCUCCUCCACGUCGUCCGACGGCGGCGGGCCUGGCUCCGAGGCAUUCCUGCUAGCGAAUGCCACAUACGUCAGCCACUUCGGGUACUUUCAGCAUGGCGCCCCCCGCGAGUUCAUCGUCUUCGUUGUGCGCACUGUCGCCCAACGCACCCAGCCCGGCCAGCACGAAGGUAACUACCCCCUCCCAGAUCUGCCUCCCGCUACCCAGGUCAACCUUUUCAGGUUAACACCCAAAGAACGCAGAUGUUCCUCUGCCCGAAAUGCUAUAUGUAAUACUGAGUAUUUGAUUUAGUGAUGAAAUCUGGAUGAUAAAUAAAAUAGAAUGCAGAUUUAUCAAUGAAAUUAGAAUGUUGAUGAUAACAUUUGAUUUCACCCCCAUUCUGUACUACUCUAUUUGUCGUAGCAAAGAAGCCAGUUCGGCUCUGGCCCUUUGUCGCUGCGUAUACCCCUUCCUUGCUCUUCGCAAGACUUGUUUACCUAGUUCCUCUCAAAAUUUGACACAUUGGUGUCAUGGAUUUAUACAAUGUGUGGAUUUAUCCAGUCUAUUGAUCUACGUGGUCCUUUGAUCUCAGCAAUCCUCAUCCUGCAUCAGUUACGUUUAUAUUCUAUUGCUAAUGUUCAUCUGUCAUACCUUUCCUGGGAUUGAAAUCUCCUUCAGCAGAUCAGUGGUUCAUCGCGCUCAAAGAACUAUAUUUGUUCAUAUAUGUGAGAUGCCCAUUCAUGUGAAACAUCAGCGGAACUGAAGGAGAUCAUCGGUUCAUUGCUGUCAAAGAACUGUACAUGUUCAUACGUGUGAGAUGUCCAUUCAGGAGAAACAUCAGCGGAACUAUAGCUCUUUUCUUUUUCUUCUCCACUUUCAUUACCUAUUAACUUCAUAAGACCUGCCUCUUUAUGUCUUUCGUAGUUGAAGCAAGCAAAGCUCAAUAAUGCAAUUGAUCAUUGACAAUUUUUGCUACUGUGCAGGUAUUAGUAGGCAAUUGUCCAGUUUUGCAGGAUGUAUCUGGCAUGCUCUUUGUCAUAUCCUUUCUCUAAAUUAAUGACAUGCUGAAAUCUCCAACUCUCAUUGCUUCAAAAUAUUACUGCUCUAUCUCAUAAGUAAAGGUAAAGAUCUCUUUGUAUGGAAACUUCUUCACUGAAAGUUAGUUGUUUCAUAAUGCAAUGAUCCUGUAACUACAGGUGGCAUUGCCAUUCAAAUUGUUCUACUAGAAAAUUGGAUAGGGUAAAAUAUAGAGAAGAAAAAUGAUUCACUGAAACAUUCCGUAGAAUUCAUGCAACCAUGGAAUUAUUUGUAUUUUACAAUGUUGGCCUAACAUCAAUGGUAUGCACCCCAAGAAAUAAAACACAUGUGUAGCAAAUUAUUGAAAAUUGCUUUCUUAGGCUGAAUAUCUAAGAUUGUAUACCUAUAAUUCAUAAACUGAUGUAAAUAUUGGGCCAUAAUCAACAAAGGAACUUCAUGGAAUAUUUUUUGGUUUCCUUCUCUUUCUCAUGCUCGGGUCUGCCUUUGUCUGUCUAAAUAUGGUGUUCUUUGGCACAUAUUAUCCUUGGGUGCAUCAUCUAUCGAUCUGCAUCCCGCGGACCAGUGAGUUCUGCCUUCUUGGUGAGUGGUUAUAGUGUCUUCCGCCACGUAUUUUAUCGGGUAAUUUUACUUGUGGAUUUUAGCUUGCCAAACUAACAGAGUAACAGAUCCCAUCAUAGAUAUUUGGGUAGUUAAUAUUGUACCGAUUUAGUAUCGUAUCGACUCUCCCGGCUGACGACGACAGCAAUCCUGCCCUCCAAAGAGGUUGUGCGUGUAAGUGUAACUUCAAAUUUCUCUCAAGUCCAAAUUUCAAAUCAUGUUCCAGUUUCUUAACUUUUGCCUAAUGCAUGUUUACUUCCUUUGUGAGAUAUGUUCUAGGUAUACAUUUCAUGUUCAUUGUAGUGUUAUUUUUGUUCCAGUCAAAUGAAUAGCACCCUGCGGAGCCAGCUCCAACUCAUGUCACUUUCAACGUACAUGUUGAACCUCAAAUGGUAGCAUCUUUGAUGUGUUUGCUUAACCUGAAAGACACCGGAACCCUGAAGCACCCUGACAUAACUGAGUAUUGAAAAAUCGCAAAACAUUGUAUUUCCCCAUUUCAUGAUUACAUAUACUAAUUGUUCAUUUCUUA
Brachypodium distachyon (stiff brome) is the source of this 3208-nucleotide long non-coding RNA. RefSeq lists it as uncharacterized. The record is from RefSeq and is a predicted model, not a curated record. The transcript has 2 exons. NCBI's taxonomy places the organism in Eukaryota, Viridiplantae, Streptophyta, Magnoliopsida, Poales, Poaceae.